This 465-nucleotide ribosomal RNA is filed under the name uncultured bacterium. Its description in RNAcentral is "partial 16S ribosomal RNA". It matches the Rfam family "Bacterial small subunit ribosomal RNA", at positions 338 to 795 of the family's 1533-position model. The record is from RNAcentral.
CCUACGGGAGGCAGCAGUAGGGAAUUUUCCACAAUGGGCGAAAGCCUGAUGGAGCGACGCCGCGUGGGUGAAGAAGGUCUUCGGCUCGUAAAACCCUGUUGUUAGAGAAGAAAGUGCGUGAGCGUAACUGUUCACGUCUCGCCGGUAUCUAACCAGCAAGCGCGGGCUAACUAAGUGCCAGCAGCCGCGGUAAUACGGAGGUGGCAAGCGUUAGCCGGAUUUGUUGGGCGUAAAGGGAACGCAGGCGGUCAUUUAAGCCUGAUGUGAAAGCCUGCGGCUUAACCGGGGUAGUGCAUUUGAAACUGGGGGACUGGAGUGCAGGAGAGGAGAGUGGAACUCCAUGUGUAGCGGUGAAAUGCGUAGAUAUAUGGAAGAACACCAGUGGCGAAGGCGGCUCUCUGGUCUGUAACUGACGCUGAGGUUCGAAAGCGUGGGUAGCAAACAGGAUUAGAUACCCGAGUAGUC